UUUUUCCUAACUCACGGUCCUGAUGAUAUUUUCCGCUGCAAUGUUUUCAAAAUAAUCACCGGUACCACUGGACUGCUCGCCGCUCCCGAUUCCGUCCAGGAUGGGGUCUGGGGCCGUGACAACUAUAUCACCGCAAAGAGGCGGUAUAUAACAGUCAACCCUUCAAUAGUUGGCAUGGAGUCUUGAUACUUGUUUUCCUUGUACUGAAAUCUUUACAUUGGUCCACUAAUUCCCUGAAAUACAUGUAAGUUUGAAAACAUCAACAAAAGUUGAGCGAGUUCAUGCAGUUUAGCUGUAUAAGAUGUAUCUGUAUCAAAACAGUAUUAUGAAAAGUGUCAAUGAAAUCGUGAUCGUUAAUGUUUUGCAAGGACAUUAAUAUGUGUGGCGAAAAUAGGAAACAAUCCAACCCUAGACGAUUUUAAUUGUAUCGACACCUGUCGUAGGGACACAAACGCACUCCUACGCAAAUGAAUGGCCAUGAGUGGGGCUCGCCAAAACCCAUUAGAUCUAACUCUUUGUUCCUUGGUCCAAACUGGAUUAAUGGUGCUUUAGUUAUGGCCCUAAUUUCGCACAUGAUCUAAGGUGUUUCAUUCCUUGACUUAUCAUACUAUUGUACAUGUAUUUUCCCCGAUAGUUGUAAAGCUUGAAAAGCAUUUAAGAUGAAAAGGGGACAUGAACUCACAGAAUUGCAUCCGUAAAUUGUAUGUAAUUGUAACCUCACUUGCAGUUGUCUUGAAUUGUAUCACGACCUACAAAGGUCCUAGAUUUGUUAGACACUUCGGUCUUUGUAUUGGCUCAUGUACAAGUCUUCUAUCUUGAAUAUGUAAUAAGACUUAUUUGUAUUUG
This 846-nucleotide long non-coding RNA is filed under the name Helianthus annuus (common sunflower). RNAcentral's name for it is "hypothetical non coding rna". The record is from RNAcentral. Lineage: Eukaryota; Viridiplantae; Streptophyta; Magnoliopsida; Asterales; Asteraceae.